Molecule: long non-coding RNA, 1020 nt
Filed under: Olea europaea subsp. europaea
Lineage: Eukaryota; Viridiplantae; Streptophyta; Magnoliopsida; Lamiales; Oleaceae
Source: RNAcentral
GUUGAAUAUUAUUUUUUAAAUAGUUUUGAUCCACUUAAUGAUCCACUCUCACACUCACCGCUUGACAAUCUGCAUUUGCAUGUAUGGUUUUAUAUAAGCUAAUAUAUUCUGGACAAGAUACUUUACAAUUUCAAUAAGGUAUGACUAAAUACUCUCAUAUAAGACAUCUCAGAUACGUUUACUUGUUUAUACCGUUCUUUAAUUUGAAUUUUCUCUAUCAUAUUUUUUUCCUUGACUUCUUAUUUUUAUUAUUAUUAUUUUUAUUUUUUCUAGGUAGAAGUUCUAUUGCCCCAUUCUAGCGAUGAGGAGUUGCAUGCACCAUAUUUCAUUCGGCUACCUAUUAGGGAACUCAUGUUUAAACCAAUUGCUACUUGUCAUCGUGAUUCAGCCGUUGUUGUCAAGUAAACCGAAAUAUUUGAUUCUCACUAAUAUAUUCCACGUUGAGUUCCAUGACUAUACUGUUCACUUCCUCAACCUCAUCGUCAUACAUCUCAACUGUUGAUAUGUCAAUUCUUGAAAUCAAAUCACUAAUUUUGGGAAUUUAGGAUGACAAUCUCAAGUAGGGGAAGGUGUGGAUGAAUGUAAUGAUUUGAAUGCACAAUUUAAUCACUUGUCGUAUACAACCUGGAUUCUGUGAGUGUAGAAGGCGCCGUCUCCACCACACUAACACGUAAUGCAUAGAUGGUCAUGAAUGAAAGCUGUCAUUUGUUAUUCGAAUUGGUGACAUCCCUACAUCAGCAAUGUAUUCAAUCUUGACAUCUAAAACUCUCUUGUCAACCUUUAUUUCAUCAACUAUCAUUUCAGCCAGUUGAAUGUACUUGCAACUUACAACCAAAUGGAACAAGAAGCCCAAACAUUUCUGCCCCAUACAUUACAAAGAUGUUUGUAUAAUCCAUUCUUGUAUUACAGAAUCACUGAUUAGUUUAUUAUGUAUAUAAAUAUUUAGUAAUACAAGACAAAAAGUAGCAUAUGUGUCAUCUUAUAGUUAUUCAUAUAUUUUUGGCCAAACAGAAAAUGAUG